CGGGGGUGCCGAGUGCCCGGGGAGCGGGGCAAUUGUGCGGCCAGGCUGUGAGGGAAGGGUAGCUGAUGGACCCCUCAUUGCUGUAGGGUCGGGCUAUGAACCCCAGCUGUCACCUCUCCCUGCUCCUGUUUGUAUGACCCCAGUUGCUUUAAGUGUCCAGUAAGAGGCAAAUACAAGGGACCUGACAACAAACUGGGACUGGAGCUGAAGAGUCAUUGAUGACCCCGUACUCUCUGUGGAUCAGUGGGUGAAGGUCAGAGUGUUCCAGGAAGCCAGGGAUGACCAGCGCACUUCAUACAUUUGCCAUGUUCUCCCCUCAUCUCUGCCUGAUUGAAUAAAAACCAUCUGUAAAA
Long non-coding RNA from Lonchura striata (white-rumped munia), 353 nucleotides. RefSeq lists it as uncharacterized. NCBI's taxonomy places the organism in Eukaryota, Metazoa, Chordata, Aves, Passeriformes, Estrildidae. The record is from RefSeq and is a predicted model, not a curated record.